Molecule: ribosomal RNA, 206 nt
Filed under: uncultured Clostridium sp.
Lineage: Bacteria; Bacillati; Bacillota; Clostridia; Eubacteriales; Clostridiaceae
Description: partial 16S ribosomal RNA
Rfam family: Bacterial small subunit ribosomal RNA
Source: RNAcentral
UGCGUAGGCGGUCUUUCAAGCCAGAAGUGAAAGGCUACGGCUCAACCGUAGUAAGCUUUUGGAACUGUAAGACUUGAGUGCAGGAGAGGAGAGUGGAAUUCCUAGUGUAGCGGUGAAAUGCGUAGAUAUUAGGAGGAACACCAGUAGCGAAGGCGGCUCUCUGGACUGUAACUGACGCUGAGGCACGAAAGCGUGGGGAGCAAACA